This 253-nucleotide ribosomal RNA is filed under the name uncultured bacterium. Its description in RNAcentral is "partial 16S ribosomal RNA". It matches the Rfam family "Bacterial small subunit ribosomal RNA", at positions 524 to 776 of the family's 1533-position model. The record is from RNAcentral.
GACAGAGGGGGCAAGCGUUGCUCGGAAUCACUGGGCGUAAAGGGCGCGUAGGCGGGUUGGUAAGUCGGUCGUGAAAUCCUCGGGCUCAACCCGAGGAGGUCGGCCGAGACUGCGAGUCUUGAGGGGCGCAGAGGAGCCUGGAAUUCCCGGUGUAGCGGUGAAAUGUGUAGAGAUCGGGAGGAACACCGGUGGCGAAGGCGGGGCUCUGGGCGCACCCUGACGCUGAGGCGCGAAAGCGUGGGGAGCAAACGGG